RNAcentral lists this ribosomal RNA (486 nucleotides) under uncultured bacterium. RNAcentral's name for it is "partial 16S ribosomal RNA". It matches the Rfam family "Bacterial small subunit ribosomal RNA", at positions 30 to 507 of the family's 1533-position model. The record is from RNAcentral.
AUUGAACGCUGGCGGCAUGCCUUACACAUGCAAGUCGAACGGCAGCACGGGUGCUUGCACCUUGUGGCGAGUGUCUCACGGGUGAUUAAUACAUCGGAACAUGUCCUGUCGUGGGGGAUAUCCCUGCGACAGCCGGAUUAAUACCGCAUACGAUCUACGGUUGAAAGCGGGGGACCUUCGGGCCUCGCGCUAUAUGGUUGGCCGAUGGCUGAUUAGCUAGUUGGUGGGGUAAAGGCCUACCAAGGCGACGAUAAGUAGCUGGUCUGAGAGGACGACCAGCCACACUGGGACUGAGAAACGGCCCAGACUCCUACGGGAGGCAGCAGUGGGGAAUUUUGGACAAUGGGCGAAGGCCUGAUCCAGCAAUGCCGCGUGUGUGAAGAAGGACUUCGGGUUGUAAAGCACUUUUGUACGGAAAGAAAUCCUUGGCCCUAAUACGGGCGGGGGAUGACGGUACCGGAAGAAUAAGCACCGGCUAACUACGUG